RNAcentral lists this long non-coding RNA (311 nucleotides) under Olea europaea (common olive). RNAcentral describes it as "long non-coding RNA (OEUR_LNC004684)". Lineage: Eukaryota; Viridiplantae; Streptophyta; Magnoliopsida; Lamiales; Oleaceae. The record is from RNAcentral.
ACAGAAGACCAAAUGAAUCGAUAAAAAUGGAAGUUGGGGGAUCACUAACCGAAGCAAAGAAAGAAAUGAAGUCAGAGGAUUCUGAGCACAAAUUGGGGAUUGGUUCCGCAUAUAAGAUUAAUUCUUUGUUCAAUUUACUUAUUGCCAUUCUGAAUCAUGCAUAGUGAUUUGACAUUUAUUGGAUUGUGGAGCAUCAAAAUCUGCUGGUAGCAUGUUCCAUGCGGAGGGGAGAAAGAAGGUGCUUUUAUUACCUUGACUUGAUAAUUUUUGUCAUCUAGGUUUAGAAUUUCUGUUGCAGUUCUUCAAUGUUA